Molecule: ribosomal RNA, 760 nt
Filed under: uncultured soil bacterium
Lineage: Bacteria
Description: bacterial SSU rRNA
Rfam family: Bacterial small subunit ribosomal RNA
Source: RNAcentral
AACGCUGGCGGCGUGGAUAAGACAUGCAAGUCGAACGGGAUUACUUUUGUAGCAAUACAGAAGUAAUUCAGUGGCGAACGGGUGCGUAACACGUGGGCAAUCUGCCGAAAAGUGGGGGAUAGCUCGCCGUAAGGCGAAUUAGUACCGCAUGUGGUGAGGGACGACAUCUUCCUGAAUCCAAAGCCGGGGCAACCUGGCGCUUUUUGAGGAGCCCGCGGCCUAUCAGCUAGUUGGUGAGGUAACGGCCCACCAAGGCUAUGACGGGUGGCUGGUCUGAGAGGACGACCAGUCACACUGGAACUGAGACACGGUCCAGACACCUACGGGUGGCAGCAGUCGAGAAUUUUUCUCAAUGGGGGCAACCCUGAAGGAGCGACGCCGCGUGGAGGAUGAAGGCUUUCGGGUUGUAAACUCCUGUCAUUUGAGAACAAGUGCCAACAAGUAACUACUGUUGGCUUGAUAGCAUCAGAAGAGGAAGGGACGGCUAACUCUGUGCCAGCAGCCGCGGUAAUACAGAGGUCCCAAGCGUUGUUCGGAUUCAUUGGGCGUAAAGGGUGCGUAGGUGGCGCCGUAAGUCGGGUGUGAAAUUUCGGAGCUUAACUCCGAAACUGCAUUCGAUACUGCGGUGCUUGAGGACUGGAGAGGAGACUGGAAUUCAUGGUGUAGCAGUGAAAUGCGUAGAGAUCAUGAGGAAGACCAGUGGCGAAGGCGGGUCUCUGGACAGUUCCUGACACUGAGGCACGAAGGCCAGGGGAGCAAA